AUUGAACGCUGGCGGCAUGCUUUACACAUGCAAGUCGAACGGCAGCGCGGGCUUCGGCCUGGCGGCGAGUGGCGAACGGGUGUGUAAUACAUCGGAACUUGCCCAGUAGCGGGGGAUAGCUCGGCGAAAGGGGGAUUAAUACCGCAAUCGACCUGAGGGGGAAAGGGUGGGGUGCUGGGACCUCUCGGCUUUGGAGCGGCCGAUGGCAGAUUAGCUAGUUGGUGGGGUAAAGGCCUACCAAGGCGACGAUGGGUAGCUGGUCUGAGAGGGCGACCAGCCACACUGAGACUGAGACACGCCCUCAACUCCUACGGGAGGCACGAGUGGGGAAUUUUGGACAAUGGGCGAAAGCCUAAUCCAGCAAUGCCGCGUGUGUGAUGCAGGCCUUCGGGUUGUAAAGCACUUUUGGCGGGAACGAAAAGGACUCUGCCAAUACCACGGUUCGAUGACGGUACCCGCAGAAUAAGCACCGGCUAACUACGUG
RNAcentral lists this ribosomal RNA (484 nucleotides) under uncultured bacterium. Its description in RNAcentral is "partial 16S ribosomal RNA". It matches the Rfam family "Bacterial small subunit ribosomal RNA", at positions 29 to 507 of the family's 1533-position model. The record is from RNAcentral.